RNAcentral lists this ribosomal RNA (253 nucleotides) under uncultured bacterium. RNAcentral's name for it is "partial 16S ribosomal RNA". It matches the Rfam family "Bacterial small subunit ribosomal RNA", at positions 524 to 776 of the family's 1533-position model. The record is from RNAcentral.
UACGUAGGGUGCAAGCGUUGUCCGGAAUUAUUGGGCGUAAAGAGCUCGUAGGCGGUUUGUCGCGUCUGCUGUGAAAACUCGGGGCUUAACCCCGGGCCUGCGGUGGGUACGGGCAGACUAGAGUGUGGUAGGGGAGACUGGAAUUCCUGGUGUAGCGGUGAAAUGCGCAGAUAUCAGGAGGAACACCGAUGGCGAAGGCAGGUCUCUGGGCCACAACUGACGCUGAGGCGCGAAAGCUAGGGGAGCAAACAGG